Molecule: ribosomal RNA, 497 nt
Filed under: uncultured bacterium
Lineage: Bacteria
Description: partial 16S ribosomal RNA
Rfam family: Bacterial small subunit ribosomal RNA
Source: RNAcentral
GAUGAACGCUGGCGGCGUGCCUAAUACAUGCAAGUCGAGCGAACAGAUAAGGAGCUUGCUCCUUUGACGUUAGCGGCGGACGGGUGAGUAACACGUGGAUAACCUACCUAUAAGACUGGGAUAACUUCGGGAAACCGGAGCUAAUACCGGAUAACAUAUUGAACCGCAUGGUUCAAUAGUGAAAGGCGGCUUUGCUGUCACUUAUAGAUGGAUCCGCGCCGUAUUAGCUAGUUGGUAAGGUAACGGCUUACCGAGGCAACGAUACGUAGCCGACCUGAGAGGGUGAUCGGCCACACUGGAACUGAGACACGGUCCAGACUCCUACGGGAGGCAGCAGUAGGGAAUCUUCCGCAAAGGGCGAAAGCCUGACGGAGCAACGCCGCGUGAGUGAUGAAGGUCUUCGGAUCGUAAAACUCUGUUAUCGGGGAAGAACAAAUGUGUAAGUAACUGUGCACAUCUUGACUGUACCUGAUCAGAAAGCCACGGCUAACUACGUG